CACAAAAAACACGUCGGACGGCAAAGAGGAGCUACAAAUGCCUGAGGAUUCAGCUUUAGAGGAUCAACACACAUUUUCCUUUAAAAAUAUAUAAGUAUUAUAAGGUUUUUCCUCUCUCUUUCUCUCUCUCGCUCUCUUUUAAGAAAAUGUACUACGUAGAAUUGCUUUUCUUCUUCCCAUCCCCCCUUCAAAACCUCAAGCAAACUCGAGGAAUCAUGCCAAAAGUCCCGUUGCUAGUUACCAAGUGCAUUUUUUUAAACGUCCCUUUGAUACUUCUUUCCCUCAUGCUUGCUGUGGAAUAUGCAAGUGAGAUAAUCUUUCCAUUACUUAGAAAAGCAAUUAAAAACAACUUUCAGUUGAACUUUCCUUUUUAUUGAGGGGGCAAAAGAAGGGGGGGAAGGGGAGAAGAGGGAGAAUAUUUUUUCCUCUUCCCAGAACCCAACAUUUGGCUUUUUCCAUUUGUGGCAGAUCACUGUAACUCUAUUGUAAAACAACUUCCUGCCCCUUUUGGCUCAAGUUCCAGAAGCUGCUAGGCUAAGUUCAUAGCACAAACUUUUUUUCUCCUUGCCGAAGAAGCAAGACAAAAAAAUCCUUGCUAAUUAUUUUGCCCUCUUUUUUGCAAAUGGAUUCAUAAGAUGAAUUUAUUGCAGUCCCCUUAACAAUGUUACAAAAGAGACGUCCGUAUACCAGCUGGAUAAUUCAUAAAUUUAAAAGUGAGAAUAACUACUCAAGGGACCAACAAAAGUCAGUUGCAUAAUUCUGCUGGCCGUCAAAAUAAAGAUUUCAGUGAUGAAUGGAGAAUAUCAUACAGAAGAAACAGAUGAAUGUGGGUAACAGAACAUAAUAUACAUCUUUCAAAUGUAUGAAAUAUUUUUUUCUGAAGGAAAUAUUAUAGCAUUAUAUUAAAUAUUAUAAAUUAGCUGAAAUAAAUUUCACAAUGAUCACUGGUCACAUUAAGCAGCUAAAAUGAUACAUCAGGUUCUGCUUUCAGACUGCGAGUAAAUCAAGAAUAACCUUUUGAAGUCAAACAGAAUCAUAUUGCUGUAAAACCAAUGCAAGUGAGAGAAGAAUCUAGUCCACUUAUACACCGGCUUUUACAUUUUACAUCAUCAUCAACUCCAUUUUACAUGAUCCUUCACUAUUUAGGGAGUUCAAUGGGUGAUUUGACAAAGUAAGGACAGUACCUUUGUAUGGUAUAUCCCGUACAUGUUGAGGAUGUCUUGGGCAUAAGGUGAUAAAAUCUGACGGAGUACGCUGUCACAUUUCUUUGCAAGAUGAAAAACUGUGCAUAUUUUGAGAUAAGGUCUCUGUCCCAAAUGUCCAGAUUUAGUAUCUCAGUUACCAUAUUUUAGGAUUCACUUUUUAGACAAAUUUAGUAACUUUCUCUUAUCUAAUAAUCUCUGCUUAGAAAAUUAAGAUUAGCAAAUUCAGAAAAUAAUGUUAAAAUAAUUGCAAAUUCUUUACUGCCAUUUAAAAUGUGAACUGAUGUAAGAUUUUCAAAUCAGAGAAAUAAAGCACUUGCAGAUGUUAUACUGGAA
Malaclemys terrapin pileata is the source of this 1538-nucleotide long non-coding RNA. RefSeq lists it as uncharacterized. The transcript is spliced from 3 exons. The record is from RefSeq and is a predicted model, not a curated record. Lineage: Eukaryota; Metazoa; Chordata; Testudines; Emydidae.